This 622-nucleotide ribosomal RNA is filed under the name uncultured bacterium. RNAcentral's name for it is "bacterial SSU rRNA". It matches the Rfam family "Bacterial small subunit ribosomal RNA", at positions 114 to 754 of the family's 1533-position model. The record is from RNAcentral.
CGCGUGGAUAACCUGCCGUAUACCGGGGGAUAACACUUGGAAAUAGGUGCUAAUACCGCAUAAGCGCACGGCUCCGCAUGGGGCAGUGUGAAAAACUCCGGUGGUAUACGAUGGAUCCGCGUCUGAUUAGCUAGUUGGCGGGGUAACGGCCCACCAAGGCAGCGAUCAGUAGCCGGCCUGAGAGGGUGGACGGCCACAUUGGGACUGAGACACGGCCCAAACUCCUACGGGAGGCAGCAGUGGGGAAUAUUGCACAAUGGGGGAAACCCUGAUGCAGCGACGCCGCGUGAGUGAAGAAGUAUCUCGGUACGUAAAGCUCUAUCAGCAGGGAAGAAAAUGACGGUACCUGACUAAGAAGCCCCGGCUAACUACGUGCCAGCAGCCGCGGUAAUACGUAGGGGGCAAGCGUUAUCCGGAUUUACUGGGUGUAAAGGGAGCGUAGACGGCAGCACAAGUCUGGAGUGAAAUCCCGGGGCUUAACCCCGGAACUGCUUUGGAAACUGUGCGGCUGGAGCGCAGGAGGGGUAAGCGGAAUUCCUAGUGUAGCGGUGAAAUGCGUAGAUAUUAGGAGGAACACCGGUGGCGAAGGCGGCUUACUGGACUGUAACUGACGUUGAGGCUC